GUGCAAUCACCGCACAUCUUGUUCGUGGUGACAGUCACACUCUUGAGCACGAAGGGCAGCCCAGAGCUGACAGAGUUCACAGACUCUGGUGCUGAAGCGGAGCCAGAGGAGGGGGAGAGCCGCGGAGCUGGUGCUCCGGGUCCGUCUGGGCGGCGUACGCAACGCGCCGACCGCUAACUUGGGCGCGUUCCGUAUCGCGGCCUUUACAGCUUCACCCACAGCUCCUCCCCUUAACGCAAUCAACUGAACUUUAGCUAAAUAAAAAAUAAAAAUGCAGGCCAUUACACACACACACACACUGUAACACAAAAUGACUUUUACACUCAAAAAUGAUUAGGGGGAAA
Anguilla rostrata (American eel) is the source of this 344-nucleotide long non-coding RNA. RefSeq lists it as uncharacterized. The record is from RefSeq and is a predicted model, not a curated record. The transcript has 2 exons. NCBI's taxonomy places the organism in Eukaryota, Metazoa, Chordata, Actinopteri, Anguilliformes, Anguillidae.